Molecule: long non-coding RNA, 216 nt
Filed under: Elaeis guineensis (African oil palm)
Lineage: Eukaryota; Viridiplantae; Streptophyta; Magnoliopsida; Arecales; Arecaceae
Description: long non-coding RNA (EGUI_LNC006881)
Source: RNAcentral
GAGGUAUGGAUCUACCAAUGACUUGCCCCAAUUAUGGUAAGAAAGAGGAGACUAUGGAUAAUAUCCUAUUCGCUUGUCUCAGAGCUCGACAGAUUCAGGAGAUGGCUAGUCUAUCUGCGAUGGCUAUGGCUCCCAUAGAGCCUACCCAGCUUUUUUUGGAGGCAGUUCAGAGGAGUGUGGAGUCUAACUCAUCUAAAGACUUGAGAAUCUAGGCCA